GACGAACGCUGGCGGCGCGCCUAACACAUGCAAGUCGAGCGAGAACCAGGGCUUCGGCCCUGGGGACAGCGGCGAACGGGUGAGUAACACGUGGGUAACCUGCCCUCGGCACCGGGAUAGCCCGGGGAAACUCGGAUUAAUACCGGACAGCCUCAUGAGCCCUCGGGCGAAUGAGAAAAGGUGGCUUCGGCUUCCGGCUGAGGAUGGGCCCGCGGCCGAUUAGCUUGUUGGUGGGGUAACGGCUCACCAAGGCUCCGAUCGGUAGCUGGUCUGAGAGGACGAUCAGCCACACUGGGACUGAGACACGGCCCAGACUCCUACGGGAGGCAGCAGUGGGGAAUCUUGCGCAAUGGGCGAAAGCCUGACGCAGCGACGCCGCGUGCGGGAAGAAGGCCUC
Molecule: ribosomal RNA, 397 nt
Filed under: uncultured bacterium
Lineage: Bacteria
Description: bacterial SSU rRNA
Rfam family: Bacterial small subunit ribosomal RNA
Source: RNAcentral